AUUGAACGCUGGCGGCAUGCCUAACACAUGCAAGUCGAACGGCAGCACGGGAGCUUGCUCCUGGUGGCGAGUGGCGGACGGGUGAGUAAUGCAUAGGAAUCUGCCCAGUAGCGGGGGACAACUUGGGGAAACUCAAGCUACUACCGCAUGCGCCCUACGGGGGAAAGCGGGGGGACCUUCGGGCCUCGCACUAUUGGAUGAGCCUAUGUCAGAUUAGCUUGUUGGUGGGGUAACGGCCUACCAAGGCGACGAUCUGUAGCUGGUCUGAGAGGACGAUCAGCCACACUGGGACUGAGACACGGCCCAGACUCCUACGGGAGGCAGCAGUGGGGAAUAUUGCACAAUGGGCGAAAGCCUGAUGCAGCAAUGCCGCGUGUGUGAAGAAGGCCUGCGGGUUGUAAAGCACUUUCAGUAGGGAGGAAACAGUAGCCGGUUAAUAUCCGGUUGCCUUGACGUUACCUACAGAAGAAGCACCGGCUAACU
RNAcentral lists this ribosomal RNA (483 nucleotides) under uncultured bacterium. RNAcentral's name for it is "bacterial SSU rRNA". It matches the Rfam family "Bacterial small subunit ribosomal RNA", at positions 30 to 502 of the family's 1533-position model. The record is from RNAcentral.